This is a long non-coding RNA of Oncorhynchus tshawytscha (Chinook salmon), 674 nucleotides long. NCBI's taxonomy places the organism in Eukaryota, Metazoa, Chordata, Actinopteri, Salmoniformes, Salmonidae. The record is from Ensembl.
CAUCCUUAUCCCAGGUGAUAUUACAACGUAUCCACCCUUGGGUUAUCAGGCAUCCUUAUCCCAGGUGAUAUUACAACGUAUCCACCCUUGGGUCAUCAGGCAUCCUUAUCCCAGGUGGGGGUGGAAGGUCCUAUAUACAGGGGCAGUGCUCAGUGACAUCACCUCUUGAAACAGGAGGUAACUAAAUGUAUAACAUGGUAAAUCUGAUGUUUGAUACUAUGGAUAAUAUAUGGAUAUCAGUCUGAAAGAAGGGGGCGGCAGGUAGCCAUAGUGGUUAGAGGGUUGGGCCAGUAACCAGCAGGUAGCCAUAGUGGUUAGAGUGUUGGGCCAGUAACCAGCAGGUAGCCAUAGUGGUUAGAGUGUUGGGCCAGUAACCAGCAGGUAGCCAUAGUGGUUAGAGUGUUGGGCCAGUAACCAGCAGGUAGCCUAUUGGUUAGAGUGUUGGGCCAGUAACCAGCAGGUAGCCAUAGUGGUUAGAGUGUUGGGCCAGUAACCAGCAGGUAGCCAUAGUGGUUAGAGUGUUGGGCCAGUAACCAGCAGGUAGCCUAGUGGUUAGAGUGUUGGGCCAGUAACCAAAAGGUUGCUGGAUUGAAUCCCCAAGCUGACAAGGUAAAAAUCGGUCCUUCUGCCCCUGAACAAGGCAGUGUUCCUAGGCCGUCAUUGUAAAUAAGAAU